Molecule: long non-coding RNA, 456 nt
Filed under: Calidris pugnax (ruff)
Lineage: Eukaryota; Metazoa; Chordata; Aves; Charadriiformes; Scolopacidae
Description: lncRNA (ENSCPUG00000005604.1)
Source: RNAcentral
GAACCGCUCCCGGACCCCGGGAACCGGGAACCGACCCACCGGGACCCCACCGGGAACCGACCCCACCGGGAACUGGGAUCUGACCCCCGGGGCACCCACUUUCACCCGGGACACCGGGACUUGACUUGGGACCCCCACCCGGGAACCCCAUUGAGGACCUUGGGACCCCCCUUGAGGACCCCAGGACGCACCCAGGACCCCAGGACCCUCCUUGAGGACCCCAGGACCCCCCCAGGACCCCCUUGAGGACCCCAGGACCCACCCGGGACCCCCUUGAGGAGCCCAGGACCCCCUUGAGGAGCUCAGCACCCACCAGGACCCUCCUUGAGGACCCCAGGACCCCCCCAGGACCCCCUUGAGGACCCCAGGACCCACCCGGGACCCCCUUGAGGAGCCCAGGACCCCCUUGAGGAGCUCAGCACCCACCAGGACCCUCCUUGAGGACCCCAGGACCCC